RNAcentral lists this ribosomal RNA (492 nucleotides) under uncultured bacterium. RNAcentral's name for it is "partial 16S ribosomal RNA". It matches the Rfam family "Bacterial small subunit ribosomal RNA", at positions 29 to 507 of the family's 1533-position model. The record is from RNAcentral.
AGUGAACGCUGGCGGUAGGCCUAACACAUGCAAGUCGAACGACCGCACAGUAAGAGCUUGCUCUUGCGGGUGGCGAGUGGCGGACGGGUGAGGAAUGCAUCGGAAUCUACUUUUUCGUGGGUGAUAAUGUAGGGAAACUUAUGCUAAUACCGCAUACAUCCUACGGAUGGAAGCAGGGGUUCUUCUGGCCUUUUGCGGUUGAAAGAGCUGAUGUCGGAUUAGCUAGGUGGCUGGGUAAAGGCGCACCAAGGCGACGAUCCGUAGCUGGUCUGAGAGGAUGAUAAGCCAAACUGGAACUGAGACACGGUCCAGACUCCUACGGGAGGCGGCAGUGGGGAAUAUUGGACAAUGGGAGCAAGCCUGAUCCAGCCACACCGCGUGAGUGAAGAAGGCCUUCGGGUUGUAAAGCUCUUUUGUUGGGAAAGAAAAGAAGCAGGUUUAUCCCCCGAUGUUAUGACGGUACCCAAAGAAUAAGCCCCGGCUAACUUCGUG